UAACACAUGAUCAACUUAACCUAUAGAGAAAAAUAACCUCUGGAAACUGAGGAUAAUGUUUCAUAGUUGAAUUGGCUUGGAAAAGUUUUUCGACGAAAGGGGUAAAAAAAAUGGUUUUUAUCUGCUAUAGGAUAGGAUCGUGUUCGAUUAUGGUUGUUGGUGAGGUAAUGGCUCACCAAGCCGAUAAUCGAUAGGGGCCGUGAGAGCGGGAGCCCCGAGAUGGGUACUGAGACAACGACCCAGGCCUUACGAGGCGCAGCAGGCGCGAAACCUCCGCAAUACACGAAAGUGUGACGGGGUUACCCAAAGUGUUCAAUUUUGAACUGUGGUAGGUGAGUAAUGUUCCCUACUAAAAAGGAGAGGGCAAGGCUGGUGCCAGCCGCCGCGGUAAAACCAGCUCUUCAAGUGGUCGGGAUAAUUAUUGGGCUUAAAGUGUCCGUAGCCGGUUUAGUAAGUUCCUGGUAAAAUCGGGUAGCUUAACUAUCUAUAUGCUAGGAAUACUACUAUACUAGAGGGCGGGAGAGGUCUGAGGUACUGCAGGGGUAGGGGUGAAAUCUUAUAAUCCUUGUUGGACCACCAGUGGCGAAGGCGUCAGACUGGAACGCGCCUGACGGUGAGGGACGAAAGCCAGGGGAGCGAACCGGAUUAGAUACCCGGGUAGUCCUGGCCGUAAACGAUGCAUACUAGGUGAUGGCACGGCCAUGAGCCGUGACAGUGCCGUAGGGAAACCGUUAAGUGUGCCGCCUGGGAAGUACGGUCGCAAGGCUAAAACUUAAAGGAAUUGGCGGGGGAGCACCACAAGGGGUGAAGCCUGCGGUUCAAUUGGACUCAACGCCGGAAAACUUACCAGGGGAGACAGCAGUAUGACGGUCAGGUUGACGACCUUACCUAACGAGCUGAGAGGAGGUGCAUGGCCGUCGCCAGUUCGUGCCGUGAGGUAUCCUGUUAAGUCAGGCAACGAACGAGAUCCGCACCUUUAUUUGCCACCAAGAGGUCACGACUUCGUUGGGAACACUAAAGGGACCGCCGUCGAUAAGACGGAGGAAGGAGCGGGCAAAGGCAGGUCAGUAUGCCCCGAAACCCCUGGGCUACACGCGGGCUGCAGUGGUAUGAACAAUGGGCUGUGACUCCAAAGGAGAACCA
RNAcentral lists this ribosomal RNA (1143 nucleotides) under uncultured archaeon. RNAcentral describes it as "bacterial SSU rRNA". It matches the Rfam family "Archaeal small subunit ribosomal RNA", at positions 94 to 1225 of the family's 1478-position model. The record is from RNAcentral.